This 446-nucleotide ribosomal RNA is filed under the name uncultured bacterium. RNAcentral's name for it is "partial 16S ribosomal RNA". It matches the Rfam family "Bacterial small subunit ribosomal RNA", at positions 338 to 795 of the family's 1533-position model. The record is from RNAcentral.
CCUACGGGUGGCAGCAGUCGAGAAUCAUUCACAAUGGGGGAAACCCUGAUGGUGCGACGCCGCGUGGGGGAAUGAAGGUCUUCGGAUUGUAAACUCCUGUCAUGUGGGAGCAAAUUAAAAAGAUAGUACCACAAGAGGAAGAGACGGCUAACUCUGUGCCAGCAGCCGCGGUAAUACAGAGGUCUCAAGCGGGGUUCGGAUUCACUGGGCGGAAAGCGUGCGUAGGCUGUUUCGUAAUGCGUUUGUGAAAGGCGCGGGCUCAACCCGCGGACGGCACAUGAUAAUGCGAGACUAGAGGAAAGGAGAGGGAACCGGAAGUCUCGGUGUAGCAGUGAAAUGCGUAGAUAUCGAGAGGAACACUAGUGGCGAAGGCGGGUUCCUGGACAUUAACUGACGCUGAGGCACGAAGGCCAGGGGAGCGAAAGGGAUUAGAUACCCCGGUAGUC